This is an unclassified non-coding RNA of Cavia aperea (Brazilian guinea pig), 108 nucleotides long. It matches the Rfam family "Y RNA". Rfam says of the family: Y RNAs are components of the Ro ribonucleoprotein particle (Ro RNP), in association with Ro60 and La proteins. The record is from Ensembl. Lineage: Eukaryota; Metazoa; Chordata; Mammalia; Rodentia; Caviidae.
GGCUGGUCCGAAGGUAGUGAGUUAUCUCGAUUGUUCACAGUCAGUACAGAUUGAACUCCUUGUUCUACUCUUUCCCCCCUUCUCACUACUGCACUUGACUAGUCUUAA